This 1306-nucleotide ribosomal RNA is filed under the name uncultured bacterium. Its description in RNAcentral is "bacterial SSU rRNA". It matches the Rfam family "Bacterial small subunit ribosomal RNA", at positions 28 to 1381 of the family's 1533-position model. The record is from RNAcentral.
AACGUACGCUGGCGGCACGCCUAACACAUGCAAGUCGAACGAAGUAGCAAUACUUAGUGGCAGACGGGUGAGUAACAUGUGGGUAUCUGCCCUUUGGCCUGGAAUAACACGAGGAAACUUGUGCUAAUACCGGAUAAGUCUUUACGGAGAAAGCUUUAUGCACCAUUGGAUGAGCCCGCACUUGAUUAGUUUGUUGGUGGGGUAAUGGCCUACCAAGACUGUGAUCAAUAGCUGAUUUGAGAGGAUGAUCAGCCACAUUGGGACUGAGACACGGCCCAAACUCCUACGGGAGGCAGCAGUGGGGAAUCUUGCACAAUGGAGGAAACUCUGAUGCAGCGAUGCCGCGUGAGUGAAGAAGGCCCUUGGGUUGUAAAGCUCUUUCGUCGGGGAAGAAAAUGACUGUACCCGAAUAAGAAGGUCCGGCUAACUUCGUGCCAGCAGCCGCGGUAAUACGAAGGGACCUAGCGUAGUUCGGAAUUACUGGGCUUAAAGAGUUCGUAGGUGGUUGAAAAAGUUAGUGGUGAAAUCCCAGAGCUUAACUCUGGAACUGCCAUUAAAACUUUUCAGCUAGAGUAUGAUAGAGGAAAGCAGAAUUUCUAGUGUAGAGGUGAAAUUCGUAGAUAUUAGAAAGAAUACCAAUUGCGAAGGCAGCUUUCUGGAUCAUUACUGACACUGAGGAACGAAAGCAUGGGUAGCGAAGAGGAUUAGAUACCCUCGUAGUCCAUGCCGUAAACGAUGUGUGUUAGACGUUGGAAAUUUAUUUUCAGUGUCGCAGCGAAAGCGAUAAACACACCGCCUGGGGAGUACGACCGCAAGGUUAAAACUCAAAUGAAUUGACGGGGACCCGCACAAGUAGUGGAGCAUGUGGUUUAAUUCGAAGAUACGCGCAGAACCUUACCAACACUUGACAUGUUCGUCGCGACUCUAAGAGAUUAGAGUUUUCGGUUCGGCCGGACGAAACACAGGUGCUGCAUGGCUGUCGUCAGCUCGUGUCGUGAGAUGUUGGGUUAAGUCCCGCAACGAGCGCAACCCUCACUUUUAGUUGCCAUCAUUAAGUUGGGCACUCUGAAAGAACUGCCAGUGAUAAGCUGGGGGAAGGUGGGGAUGACGUCAAGUCCUCAUGGCCCUUACGUGUUGGGCUACACACGUGCUACAAUGGUAUCUACAACAGGAAGCAAGACUGCGAGGUCAAGCAAAUCCUUAAAAGAUACCUCAGUUCGGAUUGCACUCUGCAACUCGAGUGCAUGAAGCUGGAAUUACUAGUAAUCGUGGAUCAGCGUGCCACGGUGAAUGCGUUCCCGGGUCU